AGAGUUUGAUUCCGGCUCAGGAUGAACGCUGGCGGCGUGCCUAACACAUGCAAGUCGAACGGAGUUGUGCAUCGGAAGUUUUCGGACGGAAGAAGCAGAACUUAGUGGCGGACGGGUGAGUAACGCGUGGGUAACCUGCCGUAUACAGGGGGAUAACAGUUGGAAACAACUGCUAAUACCGCAUAAGCGCACACUGUCGCAUGACAGAGUGUGAAAAUUUCCGGAGGUAUACGAUGGACCCGCGUCUGAUUAGCCAGUUGGCAGGGUAACGGCCUACCAAAGCAACGAUCAGUAGCCGGCCUGAGAGGGUGGACGGCCACAUUGGGACUGAGACACGGCCCAAACUCCUGCGGGAGGCAGCAGUGGGGGAUAUUGCACAAUGGGGGAAACCCUGAUGCAGCGACGCCGCGUGAGUGAAGAAGCAUUUCGGUGUGUAAAGCUCUAUCAGCAGGGAAGAAGAAUGACGGUACCUGACUAAGAAGCCCCGGCUAACUACGUGCCAGCAGCCGCGGUAAUACAUAAGGGGCAAGCGUUAUC
This 537-nucleotide ribosomal RNA is filed under the name uncultured bacterium. RNAcentral describes it as "bacterial SSU rRNA". It matches the Rfam family "Bacterial small subunit ribosomal RNA", at positions 8 to 545 of the family's 1533-position model. The record is from RNAcentral.